GAUCAUGGCUCAGGAUGAACGCUAGCUACAGGCUUAACACAUGCAAGUCGAGGGGCAGCAUGGUCUUAGCUUGCUAAGGCCGACGGCCACCGGCGCACGGGUGAGUAACGCGUAUCCAACCUGCCUUACACUCUUGGACAGCCUUCUGAAAGGGAGAUUAAUACAAGAUGUUAUCAUGAGUAAGCAUUUUCGCAUGAUUAAAGGUUUACCGGUGUAAGAUGGGGAUGCGUU
Molecule: ribosomal RNA, 231 nt
Filed under: uncultured bacterium
Lineage: Bacteria
Description: partial 16S ribosomal RNA
Rfam family: Bacterial small subunit ribosomal RNA
Source: RNAcentral